RNAcentral lists this ribosomal RNA (252 nucleotides) under uncultured bacterium. RNAcentral describes it as "partial 16S ribosomal RNA". It matches the Rfam family "Bacterial small subunit ribosomal RNA", at positions 70 to 334 of the family's 1533-position model. The record is from RNAcentral.
AAAUCCGACUUCGGUUGGAAAGUAUAGUGGCGAACGGGUGAGUAACGCGUGGAUGAUCUGCCUGGUAGUGGGGGGAUAACUCGGGGAAACCCGGGCUAAUACCGCAUGAGCCCGCAAGGGGAAAGGUUUCGAUCGCUAUCAGAGGAGUCCGCGUCCGAUUAGCUAGUAGGUAAGGUAACGGCUUACCUAGGCGUCGAUCGGUAGCCGGUCUGAGAGGACGGACGGCCACACUGGGACUGAGACACGGCCCAG